Molecule: non-coding RNA, 536 nt
Organism: Sturnus vulgaris (Common starling)
Lineage: Eukaryota; Metazoa; Chordata; Aves; Passeriformes; Sturnidae
Source: RefSeq, a predicted model, not a curated record
CGGGCAGCUUUUGGGAUCCUCUGGGUGCUCCAGGGACAGGUUUUUCCUUUCUGCUCCUCGUCCCAUCCUGGUUCUGCACGUCAAUCUCUCAGAAUUCACUCCUGAUGGAAAGCACUGACUGGACACCAACAGAAUCUCGUUUGUGGGUGAUCUAUGGGGAGAUGCUCACUCUGAGCUGCACUAAGACCACCAAGCCAUGUCACUAAAAGCACUGAGCAGCCCUCAGAGUUCCUGACUGGGCCAUCCAGCAGCACUGCUGGGCCCAUGGGAUUGGGGGAACUAAACCCAGCUGGAUCCUUUUCUCAGUUAGAAGAUUCCUGAGUUGAUGAAUCUGCGAGCCAAGAUCUCCAAGGCUCUGCAAGAUAUUGCAGUCACAGUUAAUGAAGCCCUUAAUGAACUGACAGGCCUGGUUCUUAUCUCACUUAUGCCAGAUUUAAACCUAUGUAACUCCAUUAACUUGGUGAGUUGAUCCUAAUUUUACAUAAGUGUAAAAAAGAUGAAAACCAGACGUUUUAUGUUCUCAUUAUCUAAGAGAA